AGCGCAUGCUCAGACAUACCGCGGGCCACAAGCUUGGAGGUGGAACGGCCGUUGACUGGCCGGCGUCAUCAUGCGGUGUCUUUACAGACUCGCUGGUGUGUGACAGCACAUAACUCGCGAGAGACCCCAGUAUGCAGAUGAGGAUGUGACAAUGAGUUUGGAGUUGCCUUCAACUUUGGGGGAAACAGAAGAAACUGAAGCACAAAACAGAAACUUAGAGAAGCUGAAAGAAGCUAAAGUAUUUAAAAACAUAUUAAAUGGGUAUCACUCCUUAUCUUGAAAUGUUCUCAAAUGUCAUAGCACGAGAGAACCACGGUGGCAUUGUGAAUAUAAGCCCAAAAGAAGAUGGCAGCAACAGACUGUGGUACACGUCUGCACUCUUUUCCAGUCUCCACGGCCACCACCUGCCUCCACAGGCUCCACUUGAGGAUUCUCAGAGCUGCAGGAUCGAGAGUUUUUUCCAGCUUCUAUCCUCAUGGUGACUCCCCAUGCAGUUUCUUGAGGGCUGUGGUAAACCAUUUCUCUGUAAUAAAAAUACCCAUGAUACUCUUUUCUCUACUGCCUCUUUGAAAUGUAAGACUGGCAGUAUUAAAAAAAAAAAAGAUGGCAGUAUUAAAAUUGCUUAUAUUGAAUGUACUGUCAUUUCCAAAAUUCUUCACAUGGUCAAAUAAAAAUAUUCUCUUUGAAUAUGCAAA
Cervus elaphus (red deer) is the source of this 695-nucleotide long non-coding RNA. RefSeq lists it as uncharacterized. Lineage: Eukaryota; Metazoa; Chordata; Mammalia; Artiodactyla; Cervidae. The transcript is spliced from 4 exons. The record is from RefSeq and is a predicted model, not a curated record.